UGCCGCCGGGCGUAAAAACGGAAACACAAGGGACGCAACCCCGUACAAAGCAUA
This 54-nucleotide non-coding RNA is filed under the name unclassified sequences. Its description in RNAcentral is "GP20-b RNA". It matches the Rfam family "GP20-b RNA". The record is from RNAcentral.